GGACCUGAUAUCAGGCAAGAUUACCCGCUGAACUUAAGCAUAUUAAUAAGCGGAGGAAAAGAAACUAACAAGGAUUCCCCUAGUAACGGCGAGUGAAGCGGGAAGAGCUCAAGCUUAAAAUCUCCGUGCAAGUUUUGCGCGGCGAAUUGUAGUCUAUAGAGGCGUGAUCAGUGUGGGCGCUUGGGGCAAGUUCCUUGGAAGAGGACAGCAUGGAGGGUGAUACUCCCGUUCAUCCCUGAGUUGCUCGUGCGUACGAUCCGUUUUCUUUGAGUCGCGUUGUUUGGGAAUGCAGCGCAAAGUAGGUGGUAAAUUCCAUCUAAAGCUAAAUAUUGGUGCGAGACCGAUAGCGAACAAGUACCGUGAGGGAAAGAUGAAAAGAACUUUGAAAAAGAGAGUUAAAGAGUACGUGAAACUGCUGAAAGGGGAACCGAAUCGUUUCCAGUGUCUAUAAUCCCGUGGUAUAUUUCAUUGGCGAGUGUGUGCGUGCGUGUGCUGUGGCAGCGGCUUUUUUUGGCUGCGCUCGGCGUGGGUGCUGUGUGUGCUUUGCUGGGUGCCCUGUGCUGCGGUGGGGACGUCAAGUUCAGGUCCGUAUGCUGCCGGAAAAUGGCCGCCGAAGAAGUAAGACUAACGCUUUGCGUUUGGACUGUUAU
This 650-nucleotide non-coding RNA is filed under the name Phytophthora infestans T30-4. RNAcentral's name for it is "Eukaryotic large subunit ribosomal RNA". It matches the Rfam family "Eukaryotic large subunit ribosomal RNA", at positions 1 to 499 of the family's 3401-position model. Lineage: Eukaryota; Oomycota; Peronosporomycetes; Peronosporales; Peronosporaceae. The record is from Rfam by way of RNAcentral.